AAUUCGUGAUAGGGACAUAUAUUCAUCAGAUCCUUGAACCUCUCCCAAAAAACCUAGAAGGUCUCAUCACCUUUCUGCAUAAACUGACCGAUCUGCUCCUACAGGU
Small nucleolar RNA from Malania oleifera, 106 nucleotides. NCBI's taxonomy places the organism in Eukaryota, Viridiplantae, Streptophyta, Magnoliopsida, Santalales, Ximeniaceae. The record is from RefSeq and is a predicted model, not a curated record.